Molecule: ribosomal RNA, 119 nt
Filed under: Sinocyclocheilus anshuiensis
Lineage: Eukaryota; Metazoa; Chordata; Actinopteri; Cypriniformes; Cyprinidae
Source: RNAcentral
UGCCACAGCCAUAUCACCCUGCACCCCAAGACUGCUUGCCCACCUGAAGCUAAGCGGGGUUGAGCCUGGUCAGUACCUGGAUGGGAGACCUCCUGGGAAAACUAGGUUACUGCUGGAAA